AAUGAACGCUGGCGGCAGGCCUAACACAUGCAAGUCGAGCGGACAAAGGGGGAUUGCUCCUGGAUUAAGCGGCGGACGGGCGAGUAAGGAAUACGAAUAUGCCUGGUAGAUGGGGAUGACGUCCGUUAAGGGGAGCUGAUACAGCACACGUCAAUAUGUUGAACGGGGGGGUUCUUUGGAGAUAACGGUUUCUGAUGAGACUAGGACGGAUUAGCUAGUUGGUGGGGUAAAGGCCUACCAAGGCGACGAUCCGUAACUGGUCUGAGAGGAUGAUCAGCCACACUGGAACUGAGACACGGUCCAGACUCCUACGGGAGGCAGCAGUGGGGAAUAUUCGACAAUGGGCGAAAGCCUGACGCAGCCACGCCGCGUGUGUGAAGAAGGUCUUCGGAUUGUAAAGCUCUGUUAGUUGGGAGGAAGGGAUGUGUGUGAAUAUCUUGAUGUCUUGACGGUACCUACAGAGAAAGCCCCGGCUAACUACGUG
RNAcentral lists this ribosomal RNA (484 nucleotides) under uncultured bacterium. RNAcentral describes it as "partial 16S ribosomal RNA". It matches the Rfam family "Bacterial small subunit ribosomal RNA", at positions 29 to 507 of the family's 1533-position model. The record is from RNAcentral.